Molecule: long non-coding RNA, 4686 nt
Filed under: Callithrix jacchus (white-tufted-ear marmoset)
Lineage: Eukaryota; Metazoa; Chordata; Mammalia; Primates; Cebidae
Description: lncRNA (ENSCJAG00000076502.1)
Source: RNAcentral
AGAGAUUGACAACAAAUAAUUUUUUGAAAGUUAUACAUUACAUAUAGUGUUAUUUGGCAUUGUCAUUGAAUUUUCAGUUGUAUUUGUGUUAAAAUAACAGCCAUCUUUUACUGUACAUUUACAAUGUGCCACAGUACCAAGCACGUUAUAAUCAUGUUGUCUCAUUUGACUCAUUCGCGGGCACUGACAUCUGAAAAAACAAAGCUUAACAAAGACCUGUAGGUAUCACAGCCAGGAAGCAAAUUUAGGUCCUUCUGGUUACAAAGUCAAUGUUUCAACCAUCAGGCUCCUCCACAUGACUCAGUUGUUUCUAUUUUAAAUCAAAGAGGGUUUCUUUUCAUAAUAAGCUCAACUUCUGUUGAUUUCUUCAUAAAAUUAGAUAAAUUAGUUUUAAGUCUGUGUGAAUGUAUAGCACAGAGUUUCCAGCAGGUGAACAGAAAGAGUUUCCAGCAGAUGAACAUUCUAUUAUAGGAAAACACAGUGGAGUAAUAUCCAUUCUUUUAUAGGAAAUAGCAAUGGAAUAAUAUCCAUAAAUGGGAAAAUAAUUUAAAAUGUUUCUUUUUUCAGAAAUACGUUUAUUUUAAUCAAGUGGAAAGAAAACUUUUAAGUGAUAGGUCAGUGCAUGUGAAAAAGUAAAUGAAAACAUGUCUUCUUCUUCCCCUGCUCCCCCCACUUCUCCUUUUUCUCCUCUUCUUUUUUGAGACAGGAUCUCACUGUGUCACCCAGGCUGAAAUGCAAUCGUGCAAUCAUGGCUCACUGCAGCCUCAACUGUGAAAAGUUACAUGGAGUGUGCCUGCCUCUCCUGCACGCUCUCCAACCUCUGACAUCCCUCAGACAGCAAGACCAACUCCUACUCUUCCUUCUCAUCCUCAGCCUGCUCAAUGUGAAGACCAUGGGCAUAAAGAUCUUUAUGCUGAUCCACUUCCACCUAAUGUAUUUACUAAUAUAUAUUAGUAUACAUAUUAUAUAUUAUAUAUAUUAGUAUAUAAAUAUAUUUACUAAUCAUAGCAGUAAAUAUAUUUUCUGCUAUGAUUUUCUUAGUAACAUUAUCUUUUCUCUAGCUUACCUUAUUGUAAGAAUACAGUAUAUGAUACACACAGCCAACAAAAUGUGCUAAUUAAUUAUGCUCUUGGUAAGGCCUCUGGUCAACAAUAAUUAAUAGAUAAAUUUGGAGAGAGUCAAAAGUUAUUCAAGAGUUGGCCACAGAUUUUUGGCUGAGUGGGGGAGGGAGAGUGUCAGUGGCCCUAACACCUGCAUUGUUUAAGGGGUGACUGUACCCCUCUCAGCUUCACUGGCCCCUCGUUUGACUCCACAUGCCGCACCUCUCUGGCCACUUCAACUGAAAGCAGUAAACAUGAGCUCCUCAGCCACAGCCCAACCAAGUUCACGGAGCUCCUACGGUCCAUGAAUUGGCAUCUUUUCUUUUUGUGACCACCAAGUGCAUGUACUUUUGUAAGGCCUAAUCCUUUUUUAUUUUUUUAAAAGCCUUUAUUUUAGGUUCAGGAAAACAGUGCAGGUUUUUUUACAUAGGUAAACUCAUGUCAUGGGGGUUUGAUGUACAGAUUAUUUUGAGACCCAGGUACUAAGCCUAUUACCGAAUAGUUAUUUUUUUCUGGUUCUUUCCCUUCUCCCACCCUCCAGUAGGCCUCAGUGUCUGUUGUUCCCCUCUAUGUGUCCAUGCAUUCUCAUCAUUUAGCUCCCACUUAUAAGUGAACACGUGGUAUUUGGUUUUCUGUUUCUGUGUUAGUAUGCUGAGGAUAAUGGUCUCCAGCUCCCUCAGUGUUUCUACAAAGGACACAAUUUCAUUCUUUCUUAUGGCUUCAUAGUAUUCCAUGGUGUGUAUGUACCACAUUUUGUUUAUCCAGUCUUCCAUUUAUGGGCAUUUCGGUUGAUUCCAUGUCUUUGCUAUUUGAAUAUAGUGCCGCCAUGAAUAUUCAUGUGCACAUUUUUAUGAUGGAAAGAUUUAUAUUCCUUUGGGUAUAUACCAGUAAUAGGAUUGCUAGGUUGAAUGGUAGCUCUGCUUUUAGCUCUUUGAGAAAUUAUCCCACUGCUUUCCACCCCAGUUGAAUGAAUUUACACCCCCCACCAACAGUGUACAAGUGUUCCUUUUUCUCUGCAAUCUCACCAGCAUCUUUUUUUUUUCUUUACUUUUUACUAAUAGCCAUUCUGAUUGGUUUUGCUGUUGUGAGAUGGUGUCUCAUUGUGGUUUUGAUUUGCACUUUUAUAAUGAUCAGUGGAUGCAGAGCAUUUUUUCAUAUGAUUGUUGGUUGCACGUACGUCUUCUUUUGAAAAGUGUCUGUUCAUAUCCUUUGCCCACUUUUUAAUGGGGAUGGGUUUGUCUGUUGUAAAUAUGUUUAAGUUCCUUAUAGAUGUUGGAUAUUAGACCUUUUCAGAUGUGUAGUUUGGAAAUAUUUUUGCCCAUUUUAUAAGUUGUCUGUUUACUAUUGUUGAUGGUUUCUUUUGCUGUGCAGAAGCUCUUAAGUUUAAAUAGAUCCCAUUUGUCAAUUUUUGUUUUAAAGCAAUUGCUUUUGCCAUCUUAAUCACAAAGUCUUUGCCAGUUCCUAUGUUCAGAAUGGCAUUGCCUAGGCUGUCUCCCAGGGUUUUCAUACUUUUGGGCUUUACAUUUAAGUCUUCAAUCCAUCUUGAGUUGAUUUUUGCAUAUGGUGUAAGGAAGGGUACAGUUUCCAUUUUCUGCAUAUGGCUAGCCAGAUGCCCCACCAUUUAUUGAAUAUUGAAUAAAGAGUCCUUUCCUCAUAGCUUGUUUUUGUCAGCUGUGUCAAAGAUCAGAGAUCAGACGGUAGUAGGUGUGCACCCUUAUUUCUGGGCUCUCUAUUCUGUUCCUUGGUCUACGUGUCUGUUUUUGUACCAUUCCUAUGUAGGAUAGAUUGAAGCCUGGUAGUGUGAUGUCUCCGUUUUUCUUUUUUCUUAGGAUUGCCUUGACUAUUUGGGCAUUUUUAAGGUUCUAUGUAAAUUUUAAAAUAGUUUUUCUAGUUCUGUGAAGAAUGUCAUAGUUUGAUAGGAAUAGCGCUGAAUCUGUAAAUUGCUUUGGCCAUUUUAAUGAUAUUGACUUCUCCUCUCCGUGAGCAUGGAAUGAUUUUCAACAUGUUUGUGUUUUCUCUUAUUUCUUUGAGCAGUGUUUUGUGGUUCUCAUUAUAGAGAUCUUUCACCUCCCUGAUUAGGUGUAUUCCUAGGUAUUGUAUUCCUUUUGCAGUAAUUGUGAAUGGAAGCCCAUUCCUGAUUUGGCCUUCUGUUUGUCUCUUUUUGGUGUAGGAAUGCCAGUAAUUUUUUGUACAUUGAUUUUGUAUCCUGAAACCUUGCUGAAGUUGUUUAUCAGCCUAAGGAGGUUUUGAGCUGAGAAUAUGGUGUUUUCGAGAUACAGAAUCAUGUCAUCUGCAAACAGUGAUAAUUUGACUGCCUCUCUUCCUAUUUGGAUGCCCUUUAUUUCUUUCUCUUUCCGGACUGUUCUGGCCAGCACUUCUAAUACUAUGUUGAAUAGGAGUGGUGAGAGAGGGCAUCCUUGUCUUGUGCUGAUUUUCAAGGGGAAUGCUUCCAGCUUUGACCCAUUCGGUGUAGUAUGAUAUUGGCUGUGGGGUUGUCACACAUGGCUCUUAUUAUCUUCAGCUAUGUUCCUUUAAUAUCUAGUUUGUUAAGAGGUUUUAACAUGAAGGGAUGUUGAGUUUUAUUGAAAGUCUUUUUUACAUCUAUUGAGAUGAUCAUGUGGGUUUUGUCUUUAGUUCUGUUUAUGUGAUGAAUCAUGUUUCUUGAUUUGCAUAACCAACCUUGUAUCCCAGGGAUAAAGUCUACUUGGUUGUGGUGAAUUAGCUUUUUAAUAUGCUGCUGGAUUAAGUUUGCUAGUAUUUUGUUAAGGAUUUUUGAAUCAAUGUUCAUCAAGGAUAUUGGCCCUUUUUUUUAAAAAAAAUUGUGUCUUUGUCAGGUUGUGGUAUCAGGAUGAUGUUUGCUAGCCUCAUAGAAUGAGCUAGGAAGGAAUUCCUUCUCCUCAAAUUUUGGAAUAGUUUCAGUAGGAAUGGUACCAGCUCUUCUUUAUACAUCCGGCAAAUUCAGCUGUAAAUCCAUCUGGUCCAAGGCUUUUAUUGAUUGGUAGGCUAUUUAUUUCUGUUUCAAUUUCAAAAGCUCAUUAUUGGUCUGUUCAGGAAUUCAAUUUCUUCCUGGUUCAGUGUUGGCAGGGUGUGGAGUGUCCAGGAAUUUAUCCAUUUCUUCAAAAUUUCCUAGUUUGUGUUCAUAAUAUUCUGAUGGCUAUUUGGAUUUUGUGGGGUCAGUGAUACCCCCUUUGUCACUUCUGAUUGUUUAUGCGGAACUUCUCUCUUUUCUUCUUUAUUAAUAUAGUCAGUGGUCUCUUAUUAAUUUUUUCAAAGAAUCAGCUGCUGGCUUCACUUAUGUUUUGCAUGGCUUCUCACAUCUCAAUCUCCUUCACUUUAGUUCUGAUUUUGGUUAUUUCUUGCCUUCUGUUAGCUUUGGGGUUGGCUUGCUCUUGCUUCUCUAAUUCUUUUGGAUGUGAUAUUAGGUUGUUAAUUUGAGAUCUUUCUGACUUUUUGAUGUGAGCAUUUAGUGCUAUAAACUUCCUUCUUCAUACAGCCUUAGCUGUGUCCCAGAGAUUCUGGUUUGUUGUAUUUUUGUUCUCACUAGUUUCAAGGAACUUUUUUAUUUCUGCCUUGAUUUCAUUAUUUA